GGGAUCUUCAGAGAGAAAAGGUCCUUUUUUUCCUCUUCUCGCUGUUGCUCGUCAUCUCUAUUCGUGGAACCAUUUCUGUGAACGGUCAGCUUGUCAUUGCUUGUGUGCGCUAACUCAAAAAGACCCAGGACAAAGCUUGGAACUUUAGUGUCUCAACCGGAAUAUCUCUGGAGAAAGCAUCCUAAUUCGCCUUUGGAGCAACUGAGGCACUAAUCCUGUGGCAAUGAGCUCUUUUGGUGCAUGGAAGACCUCACUGCUGCUCACUGAAAUUGGAAUGCCAGUAAAUAUACAAGAGACAGGGGAAUGCUCGAGGAAUAAACAUAUGCCUCUCUGAACCAUGGAGAUUGUGACACAUAGACGUACUUUUGCUUGUAAGAUCAUUUUUUUCUUAAAGUUGUCUGGUGAGUACUUUUCUUGAUGUUUUAUAGGUGUCUGAGGAAACUUGACAGUGUGAUAUUACCGGUGAUAAUGGUAGUGGCAAUGAUAAUAAUUAUCCU
This is a long non-coding RNA of Alexandromys fortis (reed vole), 497 nucleotides long. RefSeq lists it as uncharacterized. NCBI's taxonomy places the organism in Eukaryota, Metazoa, Chordata, Mammalia, Rodentia, Cricetidae. The record is from RefSeq and is a predicted model, not a curated record. The transcript has 3 exons.